Molecule: ribosomal RNA, 484 nt
Filed under: uncultured bacterium
Lineage: Bacteria
Description: partial 16S ribosomal RNA
Rfam family: Bacterial small subunit ribosomal RNA
Source: RNAcentral
AUUGAACGCUGGCGGCAUGCUUUACACAUGCAAGUCGAACGGCAGCGCGGGCUUCGGCCUGGCGGCGACUGGCGAACGGGUGAGUAAUGCAUCGGAACGUGCCCAGUAGUGGGGGAUAGCCCGGCGAAAGCCGGAUUAAUACCGCAUACGACCUGAGGGUGAAAGCGGGGGACCGAAAGGCCUCGCGCUAUUGGAGCGGCCGAUGUCGGAUUAGCUAGUUGGUGGGGUAAAGGCUUACCAAGGCGACGAUCCGUAGCUGGUCUGAGAGGACGACCAGCCACACUGGGACUGAGACACGGCCCAGACUCCUACGGGAGGCAGCAGUGGGGAAUUUUGGACAAUGGGGGCAACCCUGAUCCAGCCAUGCCGCGUGCGGGAAGAAGGCCUUCGGGUUGUAAACCGCUUUUGUUCGGGAAGAAAUCCUCUGGGCUAAUACCCCGGGGGGAUGACGGUACCGGAAGAAUAAGCACCGGCUAACUACGUG